This 2572-nucleotide long non-coding RNA is filed under the name Nicotiana benthamiana. Its description in RNAcentral is "long non-coding RNA (NBEN_LNC030440)". The record is from RNAcentral. Lineage: Eukaryota; Viridiplantae; Streptophyta; Magnoliopsida; Solanales; Solanaceae.
CCCAUUCUCUCAGACAAGUCGCCUCUAAUUCCUCUCUUCUCUCAAACACUCUCAAAACCCUAAUUCCUGCCUACCCCUCUUCGAUCUCAAAUUCACCAGAAUCCAUGGCUGCUCUAGCCAUGGAAGACCUAUACGCACCUCCUACUGCUCUCUCAUGCCUGAUUCCUGGAGAUUCGAGGCCAGUCUUCGAGGAUCUUCACCCAGACCUUUGUCUAUUCAAGGUUUUCAGCCAUCUUUGGUCGUGCUCCGGCAUAUCUUAGCCUUUUGAGCCUGGUUCCAACCUUAUCGACUAAGAUCUGAUCUUGUAUUUUCCAAGUCUUUUUCGUCCUUUAGGGUUCUCAGAAACCCUAGCCUAUUCAAGGUUCUUUUUUGUUUAUUCGUUUAGAUAUGUGCUAGAUCUAUGCUAUAUGUGACGUUUAAAGCAUUUUCCCAAAAUUUCCUUUUUCAAAACCCUUUGAUUUUAAAUUAGGGUUUCUGAGUCUCUUUGUUCGAUUCAUCUGCUUAGCAUCUCUAGGUCCAAUUUGAUGUUAAAAACUCUAAUUUUUGGGGAUUUAUUUGAGUCCCUAAGCCUAUCUGUUUGGUUUACUGACUAAUAGUGAAAACCAUAAUUUUUGGGGGUUCACUUGGGAUUUUGAAAUUGUUUGUUUAUCGGCUCUAAGCUCAACUGAUUAUUGAAAACCCUAGUCUCUUUGGGGACUAUUCGAGUCCUUUGAGUUUGUUUGUGCAAAUCAUCUGUUUAAAAUUACUCAAUUUGAUUCUUUUGCUUCAAUAUCUCUUUUCCAUUAUGUAAUUUCUUUAGUUUUGAGUUCUUGCUACCUGUCAAACUCGACUAUGAUUUCGACUCUUUGAAUGCUUUUGAUUCCUUUUCUCUCUAUUACCUGCUGAAACCUAACUAGCAUGCUUCGAAUGUUUCUCUAUGCUAUUUCUUUUGCCAUAGCUUGGCCUCACACAUGUGCUACUUGCGCAUUCAUUAUAUACCGAGUCCCUUCUGUGAUUGAUUUUCAAACUCGUAAUUAAUUCCAAAACUUUUUUCUUCCGUGAGAUUCUGAUUUUUACUAGCCUGUUAAGGGUUAAUUGAUUCUCUUUCUAUGUUUGGCCUUACUGAAUCUUCCAAAAAUAAUUACAAGCAUGUACUUAGACUUAACUGCCUACUGUAUGAUUUUACUAUUUCUUUUAUGGUUAUUGUCACUCUGCUCACAAAUUGAUUUUUCUUUCCUUAUUUGGAUCCUGUUAGUAUCCGUUUGAAUAAAAAUCCCCUAUUAAAUGAAAAUCUUGUCUUAAUUGAUUUUGAUUGUGGUAAUGCCCAUAUUUGUGUUAAAAUUGUACUUAUUACCUUAUUUUCUACACGUUUUCAAAGCUAUAAAUACCUGUUCGUUUUCUCUUUCAAAAACAAGUUCUAAUAGAACAUAAUACUGCUUCUUCUAAAAUACAAUAGAUUUCUUAAGUCUUCGAGUUCUCUGAACUCACAAGUUCAAAACUUUCUUCUCUGAUUGUGGUUUUGGCUGAAAGAAUACUUUACAACUUGUAUGUCUCUCCAUGUUUGGUUUCUGCCUCUUCACUAUAUGUUUAUUCUUCAGCCUCUCCUCUGUUUGUCUUAAUGUUUCGAUGCUAAUAUUUCUACAAGUUCUACUUACUGCUUUUCUCUGUGUUUACAUGAAUUCUCACUCCCCAGUUCCCUUUGUAUGUUGAGUUAUGGUUCAGAAAGACAUGACAACACUUAACAUUAUUGUUCAUGUAUAUGGACUGGACUCACUGAGUCCUAAACUCUUUCAAUUCCCCAUUUCCCUUUCCCUUUAUGUGUAUUUUAAGCCUGAAACUUUGGUCUGGCAGUGUCCUAAUCACUGUCCAAACCAUAGUCUGACCUUCAAUAGGUCUGUGCUCCUCUUUGUUGGCUGAAUAAGUUUGGUCAGGGGUGUGCCAGUCUACCUCAUGACUAGGUAUGACCACCAGCCUGCCUUGGCACUCCCCAACCCCUCUAUUGCACUUGCACUCAUUCUUAGAACAUUAAGUUAUGUCCCUCUCUUGUGAGCCAUGCUUUGGGAUCCAUGAGCUCCCUCUGAACUUGGAUACCUGAGGGCUGGCUUUUCUACAUUGCACUAUAACCCUUUUUUGAAAGUUAUGAGGUCAUUUUAUCGAGUUUUGUUUCGACAUGAUACUAUCAAGUGCUUUAGUAUACUUUUCAGAACCACGAGAUGCUAUGUCCGGAAGAGUUCCUAGAUGCACCGGAAAAUAACCAUAUUCAGAACCAUUAUACAUCAUUUGAUGAAAGCUCUCCAUAUAUUUAUAAACUGCCAUAUUCAGCCGUUAUACAUAAUUUGAUGAUAAACUCUCUAUAUAUUUAUAAACUGUGUAAAAACAUGCUAGACAUUCUGGGAAUUGCAAACAACCAAUACUAUAUGGUUUUUUGAAUCACUCAUUUUCUUAGAAGUAUGAGGUGUCGCUUCUUCAAUUGCAGUUGAGCUGAGGAUUUAUAUGUGAAGGAUAACGAGGAGGAAGAAUAACGUGGAGAAUGGUUGUGUGCCAAGGAAGUCUCAAUAAAAUUUGUAGUCUAGAGCUAAAUUUUAAUAAGGGG